RNAcentral lists this ribosomal RNA (351 nucleotides) under uncultured bacterium. RNAcentral describes it as "partial 16S ribosomal RNA". It matches the Rfam family "Bacterial small subunit ribosomal RNA", at positions 338 to 686 of the family's 1533-position model. The record is from RNAcentral.
CCUACGGGAGACAGCAGUGAGGAAUAUUGGUCAAUGGCCGGAAGGCUGAACCAGCCAUGCCGCGUGAAGGUCAGUGCCCUAUGGGCGUUAAACUUCUUUUGUGCGGGAGCAAUAAUGGUCACGUGUGGCCAGACGAGAGUACCGUACGAAUAAGCAUCGGCUAACUCCGUGCCAGCAGCCGCGGUAAUACGGGGGAUGCAAGCGUUAUCCGGGUUUAUUGGGUUGAAAGGGUGCGUAGGCUGGGAGAUAAGUCAGGGGUGAAAUGCCCCCGCUCAACGGGGUGAAGUGCCAUUGAAACUGCCUUGCUAGAGUGUGGAAGCGGUAGGUGGAAUGUGUGGUGUAGCGGUAAAA